Molecule: ribosomal RNA, 250 nt
Filed under: uncultured bacterium
Lineage: Bacteria
Description: partial 16S ribosomal RNA
Rfam family: Bacterial small subunit ribosomal RNA
Source: RNAcentral
UACGUAGGCAGCAAGCGUUGUUCGGAAUUACUGGGCGUAAAGGGUGCGUAGGCGGCGCUCUAAGUUUGGUGUGAAAUCUCCCGGCUUAACUGGGAGGGUGCACUGAAAACUGGGGCGCUCGAGUAUGGGAGAGGAAAGCGGAAUUCCUGGUGUAGCGGUGAAAUGCGUAGAGAUCAGGAGGAACACCUGCGGUGUAGACGGCUUUCUGGACCAUAACUGACGCUGAGGCACGAAAGCGUGGGUAGCAAAC